Molecule: RNA transcript, 9237 nt
Organism: Choloepus didactylus (southern two-toed sloth)
Lineage: Eukaryota; Metazoa; Chordata; Mammalia; Pilosa; Megalonychidae
Exons: 4
Source: RefSeq, a predicted model, not a curated record
AAAACCAAAAAAGGUUGGGUUUUGCCUUUUCUAAUACGAUUUUUAGAAAUAUGUUUAAAAUGAUCUCUUGAAUAGGGAUGUCUGACUUUGGCAGUAUGGCAGACGGCAUUUCCUGAAACCCUGUGUCAACAGAAUAUCCAAAAAAGUCAGGUUAAAAAAAAUAACGCCAGAUAAAACGUAAAACCCUAGGUAAACGUGCAGGGACGUGAGGCGAGGAGCCAGGCACCAGCAAAGGCUCAAGGCAGGAGGCCCCAGGGGGUGUGGACCCAGGGGCCUGGGACUGGGCACAGACGACGACAGCCAAAUGGAGGCCCCACCAAGGAGCCGGGCGCAGAGGGCAGUCCUCACGGGCGAGGGAAAGUCGGAAAAGCCCCUCUGCUGAGUGGCAGCGUGCAGUGCCGCCGUUCCUGACGGUGGCUCCGGGUGGAUCGUUCAGAAACUCACUGGCCAGCCCCUGCACUCGUUCUGAGUUUAUACUACUUGCAAGUCGAGCUGGAGCCACAGUGCGCCCGGGCGUCUGGGAGGAGCAAGCGCGAAGCCUCACGGGAACCUGCAACCCCGAGCUCAAGGAGUUCCAGCCAGUGAGCCCAGCAGAGGGGCAGCCCCCGGUGGACGCUUACAGCACACACAAGGGGAGGGCACCUCACGCUGGGUUAACUGCGCCUUCACUCCCUGCAGCCUCCUGGCGCCCACCCGGCGAGCUCACGCGUCUGCUGUUUCCUAAACUCCGUCUUCUGUUGUCCAGAUAAAUGUGCAGCAGGUCACGGUUCAGCCCCAGCAGCGGAAGGGGCCGUUUGCUGCACAGCCCCCGGGCAGGACACCAUGUCUGACGUCCCCUGGGUCUGCAGGUCCCGGGGCCAGGCAUGGGCCCUGUCGAGCCGUGUCGCCCUCACCUUCCGGCCCCUUCUCUCGUGCCACAACCCGCCCUUUCUUUCUUCUUAGAAGUCGGGAAAUGGGACUGCGUAGGCCCAGGUCACAGCCCAGAGUGCCGCCCCUAAAGCCGCCACCUCCCCUCCCUGUGUCGUGCGUCACGAAGGCGGCCAAGGUGCCUCCAGCUGUUGAGCGCAGGCGGCCCUGGUGCCCCUUCCGCGCUGGGGCUCCCAGCAGGUGAGGCCUGAAGGCCCCUCGGGCCCCUGCCGCGUGCUUCUGCUCGCCUCUCACAACUUCUGGGGGCUCUCCCAGGCCCCCGCCAGGAGGGGAGCUGCUGGCGCUCAGUGAAAAUGCUCGGAAAGGUCCACAGUUGUCUUCAGUCGGCUGCCUCUUCCUCGGCACUCGAAUACCAGCUCACGCCUGAACCAUCAGGUGUAAACAAAAAGGCCACGGGAGAGGGGCCGUUUGGCAUUUUCAAGUCCUUGUAAUUCCAGUGAGCCUCUGCGUGUGUGUACUCACUAUUUCUUUCAGCAAAGAGCUUUAUAGAGAUAUAUUCACAUAGCAGAAAAAUCAUGCAUUUGAAGUGCAGGAUUCAGCGGUGUCCAGCAUCGUCACAGGGCUGUGCCACCAUCACCACAGUCACCGCCGAAGGCAACGCCGUCCCCAGUGGCGCAGCCUCUGCUUGUGUGGGUAACGCCGCCGUGAACGUCCGAGAAGGUUUUUUUGUCUCAUUUCUCUUGGGCACAUAGACCUAGGAACGGAAUUGCCAGGUCACGCGGUAGCUCCACGUGGACCAUCUUGAGGAGCCACCGAACUGUUUUCCAGAGCAGCUUCCCAUUUCACGCUCCCGCCAGCAGGGUACAGGCUCCCCCUCCGCGCUGUGCGCUCGCUGCUGCUUGUGAGUCCGUCUGUCCUUGAGCCACACUGGGGUGAGAAGUGGUUUCCCAGCGUGGGGUUUGUUGUUGCUUGUGUUGUAUGGGGGUGACCAGCAGAUAACAGAUUUCCUACUCUAACCACUUCUGAGUGUACAAGUCAGUGCUGGUGUGCUGGCCUCACCAUGCACUCCCCAGAUACUCGGCACCCUGGAAGCAGUAACCCCCCAUUCACUUCCACCCACCCAGCCCCUGGUUGCCUCUCAGCAAUCCUCCGUCCCCAGGAAUUUGCUUGUUUCAUCCGAGUCAUGUCAUACAUACUUGUCCUUUUGUGUCUGGCUUAUUUCACUCAGCACGAUGUCUUCAAGGCUCGUCCAUGUUGCCACAUGUCAGCACUUUAUUCCUCUGUGCAGCUGAAUGAGAUUCCAUCGUACGUGCGCUGUGUUUAUCCGUUCAUCGGCUGGUUGACGUUUGCGCUGCUCCCUCCUCUGGCUGCUGUGGACAGCACUGCUGGGAACGUCCGUCCAGACGUCCGAGUUCGCUGACGCCUGUUCACCCAGUCACUCUUGAGGCAGGACUGACUUCUGCCAUUUUCCUGUUUAGUUUUUUGUGCAUUUUUCUAACUUUUUGUCCCUACUUUUGUGUUCAGUUGGUCUUUUCUAAUGAACUGUUCUGACUCUCUUCCCAUUUCCUUUUGUGUGUGUUGUCUGUGGUCACCGCACAGCUCACAUUUGCCAUCCUCCAUCUGUAACACUCCCGUGUGAAUCAGGGCCGAGCAAACUUGCCCCCCCCCCCAGCCUCCACACCCCCUUCUGCUGUUCUGGUCACAAAUGAUGUCUUCAUAGGCUGUGUGCCUCAAAACGCUGAUUUGUAAGUACUGGUCCCAGUAAGCGGAGCUACAAGCUGGAACCCCAGUGCAGUCCCUGCACGGAGGCCUUGAUUUGGCCGUGUGGCCGCGUGUUGCUGUCUGGUGUCCUUCUGUUCCGACCUGCCGUGCUCCCCACGUCCGGGGCCCCGCCCCCUCCUCAGGUCUUCGGGAUCAUCCUGCUCCACUGCCGUUCCGGAAGCCGGUUCUCGUCCACUGCACACCUGAUCCAGGCAGAGGGCACCGCUUAUGAGUCAUGGUCAGAAUUUUAGUUUCUUUGAUUAACUCAGGAUCUGUUGCUUACUGGGGAUUACUGGUUCCAUCACUCAGUGCGCAUACUGCAGCACUCUCUCAAUCUGGGGGAGACUGGUUGUAGCCCUGUGAGUCCUCAUGUGGCCUCUGGAAAAUGAGAGCAGGACGUUAAGUCCUUCCUAGGCACGGAGCUCUCUUUCCCCUCCAGGUUCAGCCACAGCCAGCGUGUCAGAGCACCAGGGGCAGGAGCAGGUGCAGAUGCUCCCCACGGCAGGGCUCAGUGCUGGUGGCUCCACAGAAAUUAACACGGCAGCAGGUUGUGACAAGUGUCUUGGCACAGCUGCAGGCCUCAGGUGUGCCCAGCAGCCUGCGACAGCCAGAGCUGUGCACCCACCGUCAGGCAGCAGGGCCCCCGGGCACCUGGCUGGGCACACAGGCCUCGGUGAUGCCACAGCGUCGCAGCUGCCUGCCAGGCCCAGCUGAAGGCUUUCGGGGUCACUGGAGGGAAGGGUCUCUGAGUGCUGAGUGGUGGUGGGGCCCCCAGCAGUCCAUCCAUCCAUCAGCAGCAGCUGCCUCCCGUGUCUUGUGCCAUUUCUGGAGUCAUGCGUCAGCUUUCAGGCUCCCUCUGGGUCGUCUCCGCCGUGUCCUGUGUGUGACUCUAUACCAAACGCCUGCUUGUUUUGUAAAAAGCAUGUUGCAUUUCUAUAUGCCUAAGAUGGUUCUAUUGGUUUAGUUCAAGUUCUAAUUUGGGUACCUUUACUGGAUUUUGUUUUGCUCUUCUGAUGUGUAAUUGCUCGUUAUGUAUUCAGUGACAGGAAAUGUGUGAUCUGAGUGCUGAGAAUGUGCAUUUUCCUAUCGUCACUGACCCUAAAGAACCACAGUUCGUGCCUUUUUUUAAAAAAAGUUUAAUAGUAGCAUACAAAUUUUUUGAAAGCAAACUCUUAUAGAGGUGGAUCAAUGCUUCCAGAGCUCGUUUUCCUGUGGUGGGUUUAUUUGCACCUGGGUGGUGAGUGACGAUGACGUCCACGUGCUGCUGCCCACACAGCUGUCUCAGAAAGCGGGUCCGGCUCCGGUGUGAGACGGGCAGCGCGUCCUCUGGCGACCUUUCAAAUCCAGUGUGAUGAACAGGUUGGUGUUUGUGGAAAAGCUGUCCCUGCCGCGGCCAAAACUGCAACAAACACGGUCACAUGUGGUCUUUGGCGGCUGCCCAAUGUUAUCUCCAAAACAGUCUGACCUGCUUUCAGGCCCGACCUGCCGCCAGAAAGCCCCUGUCCCACUGCCGGCGGCUCUCUCGGCCAGUGAGCAAAGUCGCCUCGCUUCCCACAUCAGGAAGAGAUGGUGCAAAUGGCUGAAUCCUCAGCAAACCUUAUUUUUGGCUCACGCGGCAGGCAGAACUCAGGAUUCUUCUGGAAAGUGAGUAAAGAUGGCACCUGUUACCCCAGAAGGGGGAGAGAACCCUCCCUGCUUUAAGGGCCAGCUCACCUGCUCGACUCACCUCUGUCCUCCAGGGCUCGCCCCCAGGCCGCCCUCUGCUUCCGUUCCUCCUGUGGAAAGGGAAGGGUCAGCUCCCAGGGCCGUCCCCCUCCAACCCAAAGGACUUGAGCACACUCGGUUCUGGGGUGCCCAGACAUGCGUUAGGAUUCAGCCACAGGAACGCUGCCGCUGGGGCACCAGGGCCUGCGGGGGACCCGAGCCGGCCUCACCUUGACCGUCUGCUCCAGCUGGGCCAAGGCCUCCUCGUACCGAGGCACCAGCAGCUGCAGGCUCUCGCUGGGGACCUCGUGCCGCUCCAGCUCCGGCACUCCCGCUCCUGUCACCAUCCGGAGGAAUCUAUGCUCCUGGGGGAGAAGCACGAGCAGGAAGGCGUUCUCAGGGCUCCCUGGUGCCUGCUCCCACCCCCCCCGCCCCGGGCUGCUGAGCCGCCUCACCUGCACCUUGAGAAGCAGCGUGAAGGCCCGACCAGCUCUCCCGGCCCGGGCCGUUCUCCCAACCCUGAAGGCAGACAAGUCAGACGGGCAGCGCCAAGGCGGGGGCGUUCACCGGAGGGCACCGAGGACAGCCCCAACCCGUGCAGAGCGCCCCACGGACCCCCACCCCCUCACCGGUGCACGUAGGUCCUCAGGUACUGGGGGGCGUCGUAGUUGAUCACUAGCUGCACGCCCUGCACGUCGAUGCCCCGGGCCGUGGCGUCUGUGCUGACGAGACUGUGCAGACGGGGGACACUGCUGGGACCCAGCCAGACCCUUCCUGGGAACUGGCUGCUGUGGCUUCGGGCUGCAGGCGACCCCGGGGGGGAUCCUGGGCUGACGGGACUGACCCCCACCCAGCGCCCCAGAGGGCAGGACACAGCCGCUCCCCACUCACAGCUGAAUCUUCCCCUGCUCGAACUGCUUCAAGAUGCCCUUCCUCUCCCCAGGCCCGAAGCGGGAGGAGAACUCGGCCACACUCACGCCCCCGAAGGCCUGGACGAGCAGGAAGAGCCUGACAGGACACCAGGGCCCGGUGGGGCCAGAACCCCCCACCCCCGGCCUGCCUUCCCCCACCCUGCCCGGGCCUCACCUGUGGGAGUUCUCGCGUGAGUUGGUAAAGCAGAGGAUCCUCGAGAAGUUCAUCUUCAGGAUCAAGUGCAGGACGGCCAGCGGCUUGGAGCUGAGGCUGCAGGGCACGUAGGAGUGCUGCGGAGACGGCACGCAUUGGCGGGAGCCCCACGCCCAGACCUGGCUGCCCCCUCGCGGGGCGCCCCGCUCACCGAGAGCCCGGGAGGGAAGGCGUACUUCCCGCCCACGUUCCCACUGCUGCCCUCGGGGCUCCUGUGCGCCAGCCCCAAGGAGAAGAGCUGAGGCUGGUAGAGCCCCAGCUGCUGCAGCUUCUCGGGGUUCUGAGUCAGGGUGGCCGAGAAGAGUAGCUUCUGCAGCGGCAUCUGGGGGCAGCAGGUACUGGAAAGGAAGAAGGCAGGACACGGACGCAUGGAUGCCCCUCACGCUCCCUCGUGGGCUGUCCCCUGAGGGCGGAUUCCUGAGGCUGGACAGGAGCCCUGUGGAGACACGGAGCCCGGGGACAGGGCUGAGUACCUGGCAGCAGUCACCACCGGGACCUGCCUCCGCUGCAGUGGUGCCCAGGGACCCGGGGGGCUCUCGCUCCAGAAGGCGGCGGCCACCACGCGCGGUAGCCAGGCCUGGUGCAUGCUGUCGAUCAUGCGGUCAGCCUCGUCGAUGACCUGGGGGGGGGGGUCCUGUGCUCUGGUGAUGCCGGGAGGCCAGUCGGCCCUCAGCCCAGGCCCCAGGGUCCGGCCAACGUACCAGGAAGCGGAGCUGCUGGAGGCUGAAGCCGGGGGUCUGGUCAAUGUGGUCCACCAGGCGGCCGGGGGUGGCCACCACGAUGUCCGCCAGGCAGCGGUAGCCAUCUGCCCUGCACACCAGAGUCGGGCUCAGCACAGGAAGCACUGACCCCCGACACGGCAACGCCGGGACACAGCAGAGCCUGCCGGCUGCUGAGCUCCUGCCAUGUGGGGAACCCCCUGCAGGACCCAAAGCCCAGCUGAACCUACGUUUUUUGGACAAGGCUCUCCUGCUCCUUGGCCAGCGACUUCUGUCCAGUGAUGAGGGCGACUCGCAGAGGCGUGGCAUCUGUGUACACGUUGAACACCUUGCUCACCUGGGGGAGGAGGCUGUCAGCUCCCUGAGCUGUGGGCUUCCCCAGGUCCACCCUACCUGGAACCAGGAGGCCCUGAGCGCAGGGUGCUGCUCCGCCUGGGGACACACACCUGCUGGGCCAGCUCCUUGGUGGGCAGGACAGCCAGAGCCCGCACGUGGCAGACCACUCGGCGCAGCAGGGUCUGUGGGGAGAGGGCCGUGUGUCACCCUGCCCGUCCCCACCCUGCAGCCCUGCCCAAGUCCCCCGCACACUCGCCUGCACUACGGGAAUGACGAACGCCAGUGUCUUUCCGCUGCCCGUCGGAGCGGAAACACAGAGGUCACUGGGGCGGCAGCCACCUCUCCCCACCAAGAGCCCACAGGCCGCGCUCCGCAGCAGGGUGGGGAUCACCGCCGCCUGGACUGCAGACAAGGGCAGCGGUCAGGGGCCACAUGUGUGGAAGACCCGGACGCCUCCGGCCCGUGCGGACUGAGAACAGCACAAAGCCUCGUGACGCACGUCGGCACCACAUGCCUGGGGACAUGCCAGCAAGCAGGCUGCUUGGUGCUACACGCACAGGGGCUGCCCACCGGGGCCACGGCACCUGGGAAGUAGGAGGAGAUGCCUUGCGCCUGCAGCUUCCUGCGCAGCUCAGGGUGGACUUCGGGGAUGUCCUGGAUGGGAACGAGGUCCUGGGGGACAUUCUGUCCACCACAGCUUGGCUUGGCCAACCACUCUGGCAGGAACGGCUGGACCUGUCAGGAAAGAGGGGAAGCAGCAGAAAUCUUACUGCUGACCUUUGGUGAGAUCCAUUUUCCCAGUGUUGCUGCAGUGGCCACGGUUCCUUCCACACUGGGCUCCCUUCUCCGUGGGGCACCACACUGGACCUUCCCAGCUCUGUGGAGCCGAUGCACCACGGGACAGCACAAAUCAGUCUUCAGGCUGCUUUCUGCGGAGGAUCUUGAUGGAGAGGAGGAAAUGCUGAAGGAGCAAGGAAAGGAGGCCUGGGCUCUGAGCAGUCAGUUUCCGACAUGUUUCCUUCUGCCUCAAUGUUCCAGUAAGCCGCCAGACAGAGGUCCCCUGCCAUUUCCCUUCCCUUUUUGGACUGUAACCCCCACCCGGCCACUGUGGAACACCUGCUUCUACCUGCUGUUGCCAAUUUGUGAUUGUUAGAGUGUCAGUAAGGCUCUCGGCUUCCUACUUGCAGAGGUGCGGCAGCUGGUAGCUAGUUCCCACCUCCAGGGGCCCUCCCAGCUCUGCCCGCUGCCUGAAACACGUCUCCCCCGGAUGUCUGCUUUGUGCCUUCAGAUGCCAGCUCCACGUCCCCUUCUCAGGAGAACCUGCACACACACCUCUACCUCACACCAGCCCGGGUGCUCUGCUGACCCUCUCCUGCUCCCCCUGAGAACCAUCACCCAAGGACUUUGCAGUGUGUUAGAAGAAAUAAAACAACACAGUUUCUAUGGUGGGGAGGUCCCCCUGGAGGUUCCCCGUGGGCAGGUCUCAGUGCACAGAGCCGCAAGCGCCAACGCUCCUCAGAACCCCAGGACAGCCGGACGCCACAUGCCGACCACGGGAGGAACGACUCGGCUCACUCUCCAACCCGAAGGACAAUGAGGGCACCUCAAAAAAGUCCACCACCCACAAACAUCUCAUCUGCUUUCCCUAUUAAAAACCCUUACCUGGAAAUGCUAAGACAGGACACAAUUUGGGCGGCUACCUGAAUCUCUGCCCCCCGAAUGGCAAGUCUGUGUCCCCAAAUAAAUGCCUUUGUGGUCCUGCAGCCUGGCUCAUUCCUCUCAGCUGACAUUACAUGGGCUCCGAAGAAACCACCGGCCUGACUGGACUCUGCAGCCGCCGCUGGGUCUGAGCACGGUGCUAGCAGAGUCUGUGCGCUCUGUCACCUCCCCGGUGGCCCCCUCAGCAACACUCCUCCCUCUUUUUCAUUGAGAGUCUGGCUUUCAGGGUGUUCUGAACUUCGGUUGUUUUGGUUUGGGCUGGUUACAGAAUCCGGGCUGGUGGCAGAGGCCCGUUUGCAUUUGCCCUUCUGUGUAUACAAGGAAAAUUUCCUUGUCCAGUGAGUACUCAAAAGAAACUUGGAACAUUCCCACUGUGGUAAGGAGCUCUUUUCAGUAGAGGGCUGCCUCCCCAGCAACCCAUUUCACCUCUGCUCUGACUGUGAGAAACCAAGAACUAUUCUGGUGGGCACAGGUCAGACCUUUGAGCACUAAGAGCAGCCGCCACCGUUCGAUGAGUGCCAGGAGCCCUACACCAGUCCCAGGGACUUAUGGGCCCAGGGCAGAGAGGGAUGUGGGGAAUCUGAGCUGAAGGCUUAGACACGUACUGCACUCCCAGGGUAUUCCAGCUGUAGUCCCAGAAUGGCUGCGAGUACUGGGUCUUGAAGCCAUCUUCCCUGCCAAACUGCACAGGGCACAAACCCCACUAAAGGGCUGGCACUCCCAGCUACACACAGGAAACUGGUGCACUGACUGGACAUCCACAUGGUUUGGACCCCCACUCGCUGCAUAAACGCAGUUGAGGAGAACUGGAUUGAGGGUAAGAGGUGGCUUGGGAGUGCCACCUGCUGGUAGGUCAGGGGAAGUGCACUGCACCAAGCUGUAACUCUGUCAAAUUAUGGAUAAUUGUUUAAAUAAGUCUGCAUAUCCUAAUAGAAUCAAGAUAAGCAAAUGGCAAGAAGCCAAAAACAACAGAAAAUUAUAAAGAAGAUGAAGAAACCAGACAAUA